This is a small nuclear RNA of Apodemus sylvaticus (European woodmouse), 106 nucleotides long. The record is from RefSeq and is a predicted model, not a curated record. NCBI's taxonomy places the organism in Eukaryota, Metazoa, Chordata, Mammalia, Rodentia, Muridae.
UUAAAUCUUCUACUGUAUCUUCUUCUCAAUUAUGAUGACACAGACAGGAUUAGUCUGGUUCCUGCCCAAGGAUGACAUGCAAAUUUGUGAUGUUUUCCAUAUUAAA